Equus caballus (horse) is the source of this 2518-nucleotide long non-coding RNA. The record is from Ensembl. NCBI's taxonomy places the organism in Eukaryota, Metazoa, Chordata, Mammalia, Perissodactyla, Equidae.
CCCGGGACAUAGCACUAUAUAAAUAUUAGCCAACAUUAUAAACUGGAAUUCUAUACAGCAGUAAAAAUAAAUUUUCUAAAGUUCUAUUCAACAAGAAUGAAUCUCAAAAAUGCAAUGUUGAGGAAAUAAAUGCAAGUCACAAAUAACAUAUUCAGUGUGGUAAAACUUCUCUAAGUUCAAAAACAUGCUAAUCUAAAUAUGGAUUAUUUCUAAUAAAUAUAUGUGUCACAAAAUUGUAAAUACAAGUAAACAAAUAAUAAAUAUUCAGAAGCAUAGUGGUUCUUCGGAGUUUUCUUUGAGGGUGGGGUGGAGAAAUUUAAUAAGAAGGAGUCACCGAGGGGUUGCAAUGAUAUUAAUAGCAUUCCAGUUCUUAAGCGAAGAGAUAGAUACAUGAUUGUUUCUUGCAUCAUUUUUAUUCUUUAUGUAUUAUAUGUAAAACACUUCCAUCUUACAAAAUAAAAUACGUAGUAUUUUUUUACGGGAGUACAGUGUUUCAUAAUACAAAUUACAAAAACAUAUAUAAUAAGUGGUACAUAUUUGCCGGUUUCACCAUGUUUCCAAUAGCCAACACUAAGAGGUACAAAGAUAAGGAAAUGCAUAUCCAAUCCUUAACCUGAAAGUUCUCCCACUAGUACUUCACUGGCCAUAACUUAGGCCCAUAGGCUCAUCUAGCUGCAAGGGAGGAUGGGAAAAGUGUUCAGCUGGGCUGACAUGUGCCCAGCAAAACUCAGUUACUAUCAAAGAAUGGGGAAAUGAACAUUGGAGGAUGAUGAGCAGUCUUCCACAAGAGGCAACAACCAGCAUAUUGAAAAAUAAGACAGAUAGAAGAUAAAAUAUUUGUCAAGCUAUUUGUAAAGUUGAAGAAAAUAUUUUGUAAACCACACAGCCUGAAACAGACAGUUUUCAAGAAAGAUGUGAUUCCUGUCAGGAGAAAAUUAGCUAAUAAAAUCCUUAAAAUAAAUUUUCUACAUUAAAAAUAUUUUUCUACCUCUUUCUUAAUCUUCUCCAAGAGAGAAAAGGUUAAUAAUAAUGACUACGUAUAUAAUAAAAGGAAAAAGGUGAAAACUAUGAAUAAGUCCAUGUCUUUGGACCAAAAAUUCAUAACUACUCAGUUUUCUUGUCUUCUCAGCCUCCAAAUCUCCAAAAAUAACAACUUUUUAAAAUUUAUUUUGUACUUAAAUAAACAUAAACUUAUCAAGCAUUAAAUUUAUUCAAGUAAUAAAGCUCAUUCUGCAUGGCAACAUUCAGCUGGGAAAAAACUAGCCAUUUUGUCCUAUGACUUUCUCACUUAUUCUAAAAGUAUUUCACCAUGUUCCCAACGUCAUAUUAUUGUACAGAUGAAUCUGGUAAAUUUAUCUCAUGGUUACAGAGCCUCUACAGAAAAGCAGUUUGAUUUAAUCAAUGGCAAGACUUGUGGAAUACGUCAGACAUACAAUUAUUAGUGGGUCAUAGAAUAAGCAGGGUGGGUUUCUUCAUUCUUAGAGGCUUUUUACUAUCUGGAUUUUACCCAGUUGGAUUAAUCAGACACAGAAAAAAAGAACCACAGAAAUGCUCCACAAUGUAAAGUCAAGUUCUGCAGAAGAACCUUAAAAAAAGGAACACAGGAAAGCAACCUGCAAAGCCAUAUCCAGAUGCCCGGGUUUUUUUUUUUCAGAUGAGCAAAUUGAGGUUCAGAGAGGUGGAAUACCUUACAUGAAGUCACACAGCUCCUGGAUCCCCUUAGACUUUAUGGAAGCAAUUCCAUGUACUCACACUUACAAACCAUCAGUUGCUCUUUUUAGCUUUUUUUUUCUUUUUUGGUAAAUAUCCACAUUGCUGUGUUUAAGCUACUCCCCUGUACAUUUUUAUUACCAAUUUUCUUUGAACAAACAAAAAUGCUCUAUAUUCUUUUGGGCAGUUUACUUUAUUUGACAAUAGUUGACUCAUGGGGAAAUUUAAUUGGUCAUAGGAGAAUGUGCCAGUGAAUUAGUGAAUAUGAGGCUUAGUUAAAGAUUAAAAAAUAAAUACUCUGAUUCUGGAAUUUGCCCUAAAUUCAGGGAACUGCCUAGAAAAUUGGAAACAGGGACGCCAGAGCCUGUGCAACUGAGUAACUGCAAGGCACGUGCUCAGGUAUGGGGAGACGGCUCAUGUUUUCCGGAGAGUUCUCCCUUGCUGGUUGCUGGGACCUCCUCAAAUUCUAGACAUCAACUCAGAAAUACGGUUAGCCAACCUUGAAUUGACUGAGGAGCAGAAGCAGUGGCUGAGUAUUUGCAGGGUAUGACCUCUUAGCCCUCCUGCAAGGGAUUUCCUGGCCAAAGCAAUGCUUCCCAGUUUGCCUUUGCCUGCAAUCUCUGAUCUUUUUCCAGGCAAACCUCCAUGCUUUUCCUUGAGGGUGUUCCAGGAAAGGAAACACUUGAAUUCAUAUCAGUCAUUUGCAUUUAAUUAUAAAUGUAUUUCUGUAUGUCCUUAGAGUUGAAUUUAAUGGAGAGAUCACAGAGAGAUCAGCAGGUCUUGAGGAACCCAGCAAGAUAUCCCUAUA